Molecule: ribosomal RNA, 510 nt
Filed under: uncultured bacterium
Lineage: Bacteria
Description: partial 16S ribosomal RNA
Rfam family: Bacterial small subunit ribosomal RNA
Source: RNAcentral
GACGAACGCUGGCGGCGUGCUUAACACAUGCAAGUCGAACGAAGAGCGACGGAAGCUUGCUUCUCUCAAUCUUAGUGGCGAACGGGUGAGUAACGCGUAAUCAACCUGCCCUUCAGAGGGGGACAACAGUUGGAAACGACUGCUAAUACCGCAUACGAUCUAACCUCGGCAUCGAGGAUAGAUGAAAGGUGGCCUCUACAUGUAAGCUAUCACUGAAGGAGGGGAUUGCGUCUGAUUAGCUAGUUGGAGGGGUAACGGCCCACCAAGGCGAUGAUCAGUAGCCGGUCUGAGAGGAUGAACGGCCACAUUGGGACUGAGACACGGCCCAGACUCCUACGGGAGGCAGCAGUGGGGAAUCUUCCGCAAUGGACGAAAGGCUGACGGAGCAACGCCGCGUGAGGGAUGACGGCCGUCGGGUUGUAAAGCUCUGUUAAUCGGGACGAAAGGCCUUCUUGCGAAUAGUGAGAAGGAUUGACGGUACCGGAAUAGAAAGCCACGGCUAACUACGUG